AUUGAACGCUGGCGGCAUGCCUUACACAUGCAAGUCGAACGGUAACAGGUUAAGCUGACGAGUGGCGAACGGGUGAGUAAUGUAUCGGAACGUGCCCAGUCGUGGGGGAUAACUGCUCGAAAGAGCAGCUAAUACCGCAUACGACCUGAGGGUGAAAGCGGGGGAUCGCAAGACCUCGCGCGAUUGGAGCGGCCGAUAUCAGAUUAGGUAGUUGGUGAGGUCAAGGCUCACCAAGCCGACGAUCUGUAGCUGGUCUGAGAGGACGACCAGCCACACUGGGACUGAGACACGGCCCAGACUCCUACGGGAGGCAGCAGUGGGGAAUUUUGGACAAUGGGCGCAAGCCUGAUCCAGCCAUGCCGCGUGCGGGAAGAAGGCCUUCGGGUUGUAAACCGCUUUUGUCAGGGAAGAAAAGGUUCUGGCUAAUACCUGGGACUCAUGACGGUACCUGAAGAAUAAGCACCGGCUAACUACGUG
RNAcentral lists this ribosomal RNA (477 nucleotides) under uncultured bacterium. Its description in RNAcentral is "partial 16S ribosomal RNA". It matches the Rfam family "Bacterial small subunit ribosomal RNA", at positions 30 to 507 of the family's 1533-position model. The record is from RNAcentral.